Molecule: ribosomal RNA, 318 nt
Filed under: uncultured soil bacterium
Lineage: Bacteria
Description: bacterial SSU rRNA
Rfam family: Bacterial small subunit ribosomal RNA
Source: RNAcentral
AGAACGAACGCUGGCGGCAUGCCUAAUACAUGCAAGUCGAACGAACACUUCGGUGUUAGUGGCGCACGGGUGCGUAACGCGUGGGAAUCUGCCCUUGGGUUCGGAAUAACAGUUGGAAACGACUGCUAAUACCGGAUGAUAUCGAAAGAUCAAAGAUUUAUCGCCCAGGGAUGAGCCCGCGUAGGAUUAGCUAGUUGGUGAGGUAAAGGCUCACCAAGGCGACGAUCCUUAGCUGGUCUGAGAGGAUGAUCAGCCACACUGGGACUGAGACACGGCCCAGACUCCUACGGGAGCAGCAGUAGGGAAUAGUUGGACAAU